This 75-nucleotide transfer RNA is filed under the name Branchiostoma floridae (Florida lancelet). It matches the Rfam family "tRNA". Rfam says of the family: Transfer RNA (tRNA) molecules are approximately 80 nucleotides in length. Their secondary structure includes four short double-helical elements and three loops (D, anti-codon, and T loops). The record is from Rfam by way of RNAcentral. Lineage: Eukaryota; Metazoa; Chordata; Leptocardii; Amphioxiformes; Branchiostomatidae.
GUGUCUGUGGUGUAGUGGUAGCACGCUGUACACAUUAGUGACAAGUGGUCCCAGGUUCGAAUCCUGGCAGACACA